Molecule: long non-coding RNA, 2327 nt
Organism: Triticum aestivum (bread wheat)
Lineage: Eukaryota; Viridiplantae; Streptophyta; Magnoliopsida; Poales; Poaceae
Exons: 3
Source: RefSeq, a predicted model, not a curated record
CAAAUACGUAAGCUGCGACCGGGAUGAGCAGGCAAAGGCGCCCCGAUUCUGCCUCCGCGUCAUGGGGGAGAUCAGCUCGGCGCGGAUCUCCAACAUCCCAGCUCCGCAGGGCUCACCUCUCGCAAGAUAUGAGAUAGCUCCUUCAGGUCCGACUCUCUGAGCUCAUGUCGAAAGUGCAGGCACAGAUUACGUAACAGACUUGCUGCCACAUAUAUGUACUUGCUAUCAUGGAUCAAGAUCAUAUGUUUCAAUUUCUUAAUGAACUCUGGUUCCUGCAACACAAUCAAGCAAUUUUGGACACUUUCUGUUGUCAACAUUGCCAGUGCUUGCCCGACCUUCCGUGACAAGUGAUCAGCAUUGGUAAUCAUGGGAUUUUCUUCAUUGAGAAAUGUCUGCUUCAGCCUGGUGAUGAUCAGUUGAAUGCGACCAAUGUCCUGCCUUGUGUUCCCAUCAAUGGCAAUGUUCCUGAGGAUUCCGGCCACCAACUUUCUCGAUUCCUGGCUGCUUCUGUCGUCUUUCAAGAUUUCUGCAAGGUUUCUCAAUAGGAAGGGAUGUUUUGAUAUCUUGUACCGCAGUGUUAUGCCGAUUUCCCCGCCAAUGCCUGUGAGCCUUUGCAGUACCUUCAGUGAUGACUUCAACAUGACCUUUUGUUCUGCCUCGGUAUCCUUAGUGCUCAUGGCACGUAUGAAUCUCGUGAAUCCUAUGAUUUUCGGGAUGAGGUUAGCUGCUUUGCUUAUUUCCACGCAGUUUUCCUGAUCACCAGCAAGACUUUCAAUAAGUGACAUGGCCAGUGCAGGGAGAAGAUCAUGGUCUGUUGAUGGCUGUUCCUUGGGAAGUGAACGUAAUUCUUUAAUCCGCUGCCAGCAUCUGAUUAUGUAAGAUUUCUUUUUGUCGGCCAAAGGUUGUUGGGUCGAGCGUACUUGUGUUUCCUCGAGCAGAAGUGGAUUUCCUCUCUUUGGGCUGCUAUGAGCGUCAAGAAGUGCAGAUACAAUCUGCAUCGUGCCGGGGAAGGCGACAACACGGAGGUCCUUCGCAAGUUCAGCGGUGACCUUUGCGGCAUAUAAUCUGAUAGUUGUAUCCUUUGGACUUGUCCAAUCCAACAUCCUGAUUAUUCUGGCCACAGUAUUGGUGGAAGUGGUGAGUUUUGACAGGAGUUGUGCCCUGGUUGGCUGCCAUUGCAGAAAGCUGUGCAUCAGACGAAUACCGUGGAGCUGAUUCUUGGAUGAAUCCGAGUUUAGAGAAUCCAUGGCAAAGUUGGUCAGGCUGAUCUUCUUUGGAGCAAGCACACCCUCCUGCAUACAUUUCUCUAAGGCGUAUGCAUAGUACACAUUGACAGAUUCUACUCCACACUGACCUCUAAACCCACCACGGUGGACAAGGUAUCUCCGAGGGAUGAACGAAAAGAACUCGAGCAUGCAAGCCACAGAAUUGAAGAUUCCUUGUCCAAGCACCAUCCCAUAGAACAUUCUGAGAGGUGCUUUGAGGUUCUUAUUGUCCUUUCCAUACUUAGGCACAUACAGAAGGCCCAAGAUUGCUAGCACGAUACGCAACACGGCUGCUGGAAUCUGGAAGUUGCCAAAUGACAACACCGCUAAGGCACACACUUGGAUUAUCAUGCUCGUAGAAAUGUUCACGAAUACAUCUCGGCGUAGCAUGUACAUCUGCAUCCCUAGCACAGCAAUCAUGCACAAGUUUAUAAUAACCUGACGCCAAAAUACUUUUUUGCUGCCAAGAGUUCUGUCCACUAGUUUGAUGAUUCUUGUAAACCGUAGCCUGCUUAUUGUUACCAAUAGCACUGGCACAAGUAGUGUUGUGAACACUACCCAUCUGGUCAAUGGAUCUAUUUGAUUUUGACCCUCAUCAGCACCAUAUAUGUAUUGACGACUGCGGUCUGAUAGAGAGGGAGCCAAUAACAAGAUUGCAACUAAGGGGCUCCAUAGUGAUGUGGCACGGUGUAGCGGUUUGCAUAUGUGCAGUUUCAGCCCAGACAGGAACCGGCCAAUUGCAAGUAUUAUUGUCAUCAAUAGAAGCCCCAUAAGAGACAUGUAUCUAUCUUUCUUCAAGAGGAUCACGAAAACAUCAAAAAAGCAUACUACCGCAACCAGUCCAUUCCAGACCAUAUAGGUCUAAAAGCUCCCCUGGUGUUAAAGAACAGUUGGUAAUCCAGUCUGUUGUUGCGUGUGAACAUCCUGCAGUAUGUAUAUAAGGUGUCAUUAAAUGAUAGAAUAUGCACAUUAUGUAGAUCACAAACCUAAGAUGGUGAGCAUCCAGAUCAUACUCCAGUGUUUAAGAAAGAUAGACAUACGAUCUCAGAAGAUCGUAACAAU